RNAcentral lists this ribosomal RNA (305 nucleotides) under uncultured bacterium. Its description in RNAcentral is "bacterial SSU rRNA". It matches the Rfam family "Bacterial small subunit ribosomal RNA", at positions 337 to 634 of the family's 1533-position model. The record is from RNAcentral.
UCCUACGGGAGGCAGCAGUAGGGAAUCUUCCACAAUGGGCGAAAGCCUGAUGGAGCAACGCCGCGUGGGUGAAGAAGGUCUUCGGAUCGUAAAACCCUGUUGUUAGAGAAGAAAGUGCGUGAGAGUAACUGUUCACGUUUCGACGGUAUCUAACCAGAAAGCCACGGCUAACUACGUGCCAGCAGCCGCGGUAAUACGUAGGUGGCAAGCGUUAUCCGGAUUUAUUGGGUGUAAAGGGAGAGUAGGCGGCAAGGUAAGCGAUAUGUGAAAGCCUUAAGCUUAACUUAAGGAUGGCAUAACGAACU